CCAGUCCUAGGGGUGGACAAGCUUUCAUGAACCGACCGAAAACCGAAGAACCCGUUCUUCCGAAACGCUCUCGGACGGUUUUGAUCGGUUUAUCGGUUUUGUCGGAUGCCUAAAAUGGAUGUAGACGGACAUCAAUGGUCGGGUUCGGUUGAUAAUUUUGUAACCGUCGGUGUCCGAAUCCGACCGAAUAACCAUGGAAUAGGUAUGUUAGGCCCAAUACUUUUGGCCCAAUACUCUUGUUAUUUGAAGAUCCAAACCCAGUUUUUAAGUUGUCAUCAGCAAUUCUCUAUAUAUGUUCCCCCUUCUUAACCCUAGCCGCAACAACCUCACUCUCAUCUCUCUCAAAUCUUAAGAGCAACGGCGCUAAUUUUUUGAAGAAAAUUUUCUUCUGAAUUUUCUUCUGAGUUUUCGUCUCUCACAGCCCACCCUUCUUCAUCUUCACCGUCGUCUGUCCUUCAUUCAUUGUUUUAUUUUUAUUUAUUGAAUCUGUUUAAUGUUACAAGAUGUUGUUCUAGCAUUUUGAAGACAUGAAAAUCUACAAAGGUUUCUAGAUCUGAAAACGUUGCAAGUUGAAGAUGGAAAUGAUUUAGAAAGGAGGUUUAGUGGAGAUGUAAUUCAUUUUAGAUGGAUGUGGUUUAGAGUUUCACUGCAGUUGGCUUCCUCCCCUUUUACGUUCUGUUUUGAUAUGUUUAAAUAGAUAGAUGCAGUGAAAAGUUUAUUGAGUUUUUGUUUGUUUGUAAGGGUCAGCUGUUGCAAUUGUUUUGUUUUAUGUUUCAGGUGUUGCAAGUAUAUCAGAUGAGGAUUGGUUAUCAAUAUUCUUGGACAAACCAUAAAUUUAUGUUGGGCUGUAUUUACAUAUGAAUUUUAUUUGAAUUAAUCUUCUAUUUUUGUAUUAUUAAUGUAUUUUAAUUUAUGGACUUGAAUAGUUGUUUUAA
This is a long non-coding RNA of Vicia villosa (hairy vetch), 935 nucleotides long. RefSeq lists it as uncharacterized. The record is from RefSeq and is a predicted model, not a curated record. The transcript has 3 exons. Lineage: Eukaryota; Viridiplantae; Streptophyta; Magnoliopsida; Fabales; Fabaceae.